CUGGAGCCCUGGGAGGAGGGGGUUGGGCAGCUGCUGUUGCUGCCGCUGGUGGUCCCUGUGCUUGAAGUGCCGGGUGGUAUCGGAGUCCAUGCGCCCAAGGCUUGCUACUCUCUCCUACCGCGAAGAUGCCCAGCACCCAGCAACAUUUUCUGGCCCAGCAGAGGGGGUCAUCUCUGAUAGAAGUAUACCUGGAACGUUGGCAUGAGGAAAUCAAUCAAUGCAAAGCAUAUCAUGAGCUCUCACAGACCUCUGUGACUGUUCCUGGCCCCAUCAGAUGGUGGGCCUGAGCCUGGAGCGCUGAGCUGGUCGGUAGGGUGCAGCACAUUCCUCAUCUGGAGCUGACACCUUUAGGACUUCCUUCCCAGUUGUCUUCUUCGGGCUUCCUCCUCCGCACCCUGUCAGGCCAAAGCCUCUCACACUCAGGAGUUUCUCCUUCCAGUAAGAAG
Molecule: long non-coding RNA, 446 nt
Filed under: Aotus nancymaae (Ma's night monkey)
Lineage: Eukaryota; Metazoa; Chordata; Mammalia; Primates; Aotidae
Description: lncRNA (ENSANAG00000039056.1)
Source: RNAcentral